CCUACACCCAUGUGUGUAGGACCCCAAAAGAUCACUAUUAAAUUUGGCACAGAUCUCUAGAAAAGUUAUCACAUGGGUGUGGGACUUGACUUUUCUAGACAUCUAUGGCAAAUUUAAUGAAGAUCAUUUGGAGUCCUACACACAUGGGUGUGGG
This 154-nucleotide microRNA precursor is filed under the name Amborella trichopoda. RNAcentral describes it as "MIR8565 microRNA precursor family". It matches the Rfam family "MIR8565 microRNA precursor family". Lineage: Eukaryota; Viridiplantae; Streptophyta; Magnoliopsida; Amborellales; Amborellaceae. The record is from Rfam by way of RNAcentral.